GAGUUUUUCUGCACUGCCUGCUCAGCACCAGAGAAACCGGAGGACCCUUGGCUGUGCCCACAGCGGGAAAAGCCCAGGCUCCAGGUCCAGGACUACCCACUUCCCUUGGAAUGGUGUUGCCAUCACUGUUCUGGCACCGGAGAAAGGAUUCUACAUCGUUAGGAGAAAAGAAAAAGGAGAAUUUGGGCUUGCACUGAGAGGAUUACCUUUGGUGGUCUGGAAGUGGUGG
Molecule: long non-coding RNA, 229 nt
Filed under: Homo sapiens (human)
Lineage: Eukaryota; Metazoa; Chordata; Mammalia; Primates; Hominidae
Description: HSALNT0332720
Source: RNAcentral